GAUGAACGCUGGCGGCGUGCUUAACACAUGCAAGUCGAACGGAAAGGCUCCUGCUUGCAGGGGUACUCGAGUGGCGAACGGGUGAGUAACACGUGGGUGAUCUGCCCUGCACUUCGGGAUAAGCCUGGGAAACUGGGUCUAAUACCGGAUAGGACCACAUUCUGGAUGGUGUGGUGGAAAGUUUUUCGGUGUGGGAUGAGCUCGCGGCCUAUCAGCUUGUUGGUGGGGUAAUGGCCUACCAAGGCGUCGACGGGUAGCCGGCCUGAGAGGGUGUACGGCCACAUUGGGACUGAGAUACGGCCCAGACUCCUACGGGAGGCAGCAGUGGGGAAUAUUGCACAAUGGGCGGAAGCCUGAUGCAGCGACGCCGCGUGGGGGAUGACGGCCUUCGGGUUGUAAACUCCUUUCGCUAGGGACGAAGCGCAAGUGACGGUACCUGGAGAAGAAGCACCGGCUAACUACGUG
RNAcentral lists this ribosomal RNA (465 nucleotides) under uncultured bacterium. RNAcentral's name for it is "partial 16S ribosomal RNA". It matches the Rfam family "Bacterial small subunit ribosomal RNA", at positions 28 to 507 of the family's 1533-position model. The record is from RNAcentral.